UGAGGAAUAUUGGUCAAUGGGCGAAAGCCUGAACCAGCCAAGUAGCGUGCAGGAUGACGGCCCUAUGGGUUGUAAACUGCUUUUAGGCGGGGGUAAAGUGCCGGACGUGUUCCGGUAUUGCAAGUACCGCCAGAAAAAGGACCGGCUAAUUCCGUGCCAGCAGCCGCGGUAAUACGGAAGGUCCAGGCGUUAUCCGGAUUUAUUGGGUUUAAAGGGAGCGCAGGCCGCCGGGCAAGCGUGUUGUGAAAUGCAGUCGCUCAACGUCUGCACUGCAGCGCGAACUGCCCAGCUUGAGUGCGCGCAACGUUGGCGGAAUUCGCCGUGUAGCGAUGAAAUGCUUAGAUAUGGCGAAGAACUCCGAUUGCGAAGGCAGCUGACGGGUGCGUAACUGACGCUCAUGCUCGAAAGUGCGGGUAUCGAACAGGAUUAGAUACCCUGGUAGU
This 443-nucleotide ribosomal RNA is filed under the name uncultured Prevotella sp. RNAcentral describes it as "bacterial SSU rRNA". It matches the Rfam family "Bacterial small subunit ribosomal RNA", at positions 355 to 794 of the family's 1533-position model. The record is from RNAcentral. Lineage: Bacteria; Pseudomonadati; Bacteroidota; Bacteroidia; Bacteroidales; Prevotellaceae.